Molecule: ribosomal RNA, 329 nt
Filed under: uncultured eukaryote
Lineage: Eukaryota
Description: partial 18S ribosomal RNA
Rfam family: Eukaryotic small subunit ribosomal RNA
Source: RNAcentral
CCCUUAGAUGUUCUGGGCCGUACGCGCGCUACACUGAUGCAUUCAACGAGUCUAAAACCUGCUCUGAUAGGGGUGGGUAAUCUUUUGAAUGUGCAUCGUGAUUGGGAUAGAUGAUUGCAAUUUUUCAUCUUCAACGAGGAAUGCCUAGUAAACGCAAGUCAUCAGCUUGCAUUGAUUACGUCCCUGCCCUUUGUACACACCGCCCGUCGCUCCUACCGAUUGAAUGAUCCGAUGAAUAUCAUGGAUUGAGGAUGCAAGCAGGUUCGCCUGUCUUCAUCUUCGAGAAGUGAAGUAAAGCUUAUCAUUUAGAGGAAGGAGAAGUCGUAACA